GACGAACGCUGGCGGCGUGCUUAACACAUGCAAGUCGAACGGAAAGGCCCUGCUUUUGUGGGGUGCUCGAGUGGCGAACGGGUGAGUAACACGUGAGUAACCUGCCCUUGACUUUGGGAUAACUUCAGGAAACUGGGGCUAAUACCGGAUAGGAGCUCCUGCUGCAUGGUGGGGGUUGGAACGUUUCGGCGGUUGGGGAUGGACUCGCGGCUUAUCAGCUUGUUGGUGGGGUAGUGGCUUACCAAGGCUUUGACGGGUAGCCGGCCUGAGAGGGUGACCGGCCACAUUGGGACUGAGAUACGGCCCAGACUCCUACGGGAGGCAGAAGUGGGGAAUAUGGCACAAUGGGCGGAAGCCUGAUGCAGCAACGCCGCGUGCGGGAUGACGGCCUUCGGGUUGUAAACCGCUUUCGCCUGUGACGAAGCGUGAGUGACGGUAAUGGGUAAAGAAGCACCGGCUAACUACGUG
This 468-nucleotide ribosomal RNA is filed under the name uncultured bacterium. RNAcentral describes it as "partial 16S ribosomal RNA". It matches the Rfam family "Bacterial small subunit ribosomal RNA", at positions 28 to 507 of the family's 1533-position model. The record is from RNAcentral.